CUGGGAGUUGUAGUUUUUCACUGUGAGGAAGAAUCCCCGUGAAAAGCGGUUAGGGAGGAGUCACGGAAACUACGACUCCCGUCAUUCAAGGCGCGCGACUCUCAGUUCCGGGUUGGAAUUUAAAUCCCCUACACAGCUUGAGUGUAGAAGGAACUAAGCAAAAGAGAAAAAAAGAAAAAGCUGUGAGAGAGUGUGAGAGAGGAAGGCAAACCCGUAGGGAAAGCGGCCUUAAAAUACCUUUAAAAUUCAGGACAUUAGUUGUCCGGAUACCGCUCCCACACUGAUUGAACAACCAGGAAAUAGAAAACUAAGCCAACCUAACAGUCCAAGACAGAUUAAUUUCCGUAAUGAAUGCCAAGAACAAAACCUGUCACAUCGAAGGGCUAGGAAAUAAUAAGAUUAUGGAACCUAUUUAGGACUGCUAGAGAGAACAACGUAAUAGUAUCAGGUUACCGGAUCCUUGAUUGAACUCCAUCCUUGUCCUUCCCAGGUAGCUGUUUGCAGCCGCUUACUAAAUUUUGCAAAGCCAGCUUUAUCCUGUAAAUGAAUAAGAUUUAAACGACGUACAGUACCAAAUUGUUUGCUUCGGAUAAAAACUGUAACCUCUUCUCCAUCAGAGGCUGAUUUCUACUGGUAUAGUGCUCUAUGAAGAAAAGUGCGCCGCUCCAGGAAACAAGCUAUGAUUCGCUUAUCCUGCAGGACUUCGAAAGAAACCACAGGAAAGUCUCUGGCAGUCAAAAGAAGUUUUUAUGAAGUCCUUAUUUUAAAAUUAGCAUACUUUCCGAAGAUUAGCCCUGAGCUAACUGCCAAUCCUCCUCUUUUUGCUGCGGAAGACUCGCCCUGAGCUAACAUCUGUGCCCAUCUUUCUCUACUUUAUAUGUGGGACGCCUACCACAGCAUGGUGUGCCAAGUGGUGCCAUGUCCGCGCGCCACCAGGCCCGCCCCUCCACCUCUUAAAGGAGACAGUCUACACUCUUAACAGGGCUUGCCUCUGAACAAUGGGACAUGGAAUGUGUCUGUGGGAACAAGAUGAACUGAACACAGGUCCCGCCCUCAAAGGAGCUUACUUUCUACCUUAUAUGAUUGUCUGAAGAGUCUUUUACAAAUAUCCCAUUUAUCAUAAUUAUUUGAAAAUUAAAAUAUAAUUUUCUGGAAAAAAUGUCAUCUCAAUUACCACUAUCCUGAAAACUAAAAGCCAGUCCAUCCUUAAACAGUGCCCAGCCCAUAGUAAACCCUUAGUCAGUACUGGCUGUUAUUAUCAUGCUAAGGCAAACGCCAAAAUUUCCCCAAGCCUGAGGUGGUCGAAGAAUUUCAAGGGUACCAUCUUGUUCAUUAGACUGCCCAGAGGCCAGGCACAGCUGCUGGGGACCAGUUUCUGAGCCAAGCUCCUCCCUCCCCUCUGUCCCCAGCCAUCAGGAGGGAACUCAGACAAGAUCUAGGUUCCGAAUAAGUGUAGCUGGGCUGCAGGGUGUGUCUCUUUUAAUCCCACUUAGAUAGGUGAGUUAGAGCCUAGGUUGGCAAUAUAUGGAGAGAAUAAAAGUAUUAUUUACAGGCAUGCCACCAUGGCCCAGGCGCCUUCUCAAUUCAUCUUAGUGAAAAUCCAAGGUAGUAGUGUUAAUCUCGUUUUACUCUUGAACCUGUGGCUCAUGCCUAAGGUCACACAGUCUUAAAUGGGUCAGCAUUGGAACUAUGACCCAAGUUUGCAAGACCUCAAAGGUGUGUUCUGGUACUCCACACUGUUGACUCGGGCAGCGAAGAAGCCUGGAAAGAAAGAGAGGGAUUAAUUUAAAUUUUACAAAGCAUCAUAAUAGACAUAAGUAGCAAGUGGUCAAUAAAAAAAAAAAUCUUUUUUAAGGACAGUGUCAGCAUAUGUUCCA
This is a long non-coding RNA of Equus caballus (horse), 1877 nucleotides long. RefSeq lists it as uncharacterized. The record is from RefSeq and is a predicted model, not a curated record. NCBI's taxonomy places the organism in Eukaryota, Metazoa, Chordata, Mammalia, Perissodactyla, Equidae.